AGCAACAAAUGCCCUGCUUCCAGGAAAAGCCUCUAAGCAUCAGGUAACAUCAAAUCGUACCCCAAACCGACACAGGUGGUCAGGUAGAGAAUACCAAGGCGCUUGAGAGAACUCGGGUGAAGGAACUAGGCAAAAUGGUGCCGUAACUUCGGGAGAAGGCACGCUGACACGUAGGUGAAGUGAUUUACUCAUGGAGCUGAAGUCAGUCGAAGAUACCAGCUGGCUGCAACUGUUUAUUAAAAACACAGCACUGUGCAAACACGAAAGUGGACGUAUACGGUGUGACGCCUGCCCGGUGCCGGAAGGUUAAUUGAUGGGGUCAGCGCAAGCGAAGCUCCUGAUCGAAGCCCCGGUAAACGGCGGCCGUAACUAUAACGGUCCUAAGGUAGCGAAAUUCCUUGUCGGGUAAGUUCCGACCUGCACGAAUGGCGUAAUGAUGGCCAGGCUGUCUCCACCCGAGACUCAGUGAAAUUGAACUCGCUGUGAAGAUGCAGUGUACCCGCGGCAAGACGGAAAGACCCCGUGAACCUUUACUAUAGCUUGACACUGAACAUUGAGCCUUGAUGUGUAGGAUAGGUGGGAGGCUUUGAAGUGUGGACGCCAGUCUGCAUGGAGCCGACCUUGAAAUACCACCCUUUAAUGUUUGAUGUUCUAACGUGGACCCGUUACCCGGGUUGCGGACAGUGUCUGGUGGGUAGUUUGACUGGGGCGGUCUCCUCCUAAAGAGUAACGGAGGAGCACGAAGGUUGGCUAAUCCUGGUCGGACAUCAGGAGGUUAGUGCAAUGGCAUAAGCCAGCUUGACUGCGAGCGUGACGGCGCGAGCAGGUGCGAAAGCAGGUCAUAGUGAUCCGGUGGUUCUGAAUGGAAGGGCCAUCGCUCAACGGAUAAAAGGUACUCCGGGGAUAACAGGCUGAUACCGCCCAAGAGUUCAUAUCGACGGCGGUGUUUGGCACCUCGAUGUCGGCUCAUCACAUCCUGGGGCUGAAGUAGGUCCCAAGGGUAUGGCUGUUCGCCAUUUAAAGUGGUACGCGAGCUGGGUUUAGAACGUCGUGAGACAGUUCGGUCCCUAUCUGCCGUGGGCGCUGGAGAACUGAGGGGGGCUGCUCCUAGUACGAGAGGACCGGAGUGGACGCAUCACUGGUGUUCGGGUUGUCAUGCCAAUGGCACUGCCCGGUAGCUAAAUGCGGAAGAGAUAAGUGCUGAAAGCAUCUAAGCACGAAACUUGCCCCGAGAUGAGUUCUCCCUGAGACUUAAAGUCUCCUGAAGGAACGUUGAAGACGACGACGUUGAUAGGCCGGGUGUGUAAGCGCAGCGAUGCGUUGAGCUAACCGGUACUAAUGAACCGUGAGGC
Molecule: ribosomal RNA, 1352 nt
Filed under: Salmonella enterica
Lineage: Bacteria; Pseudomonadati; Pseudomonadota; Gammaproteobacteria; Enterobacterales; Enterobacteriaceae
Also listed under: 1 other name
Description: partial 23S ribosomal RNA
Rfam family: Bacterial large subunit ribosomal RNA
Source: RNAcentral